UACGGGGGGGGCAAGCGUUGUUCGGAAUUACUGGGCGUAAAGGGCUCGUAGGCGGCCAACUAAGUCAGACGUGAAAUCCCCAGGCUCAACCUGGGAACUGCGUCUGAUACUGGAUGGCUUGAAUCCGGGAGAGGGAUGCAGAAUUCCAGGUGUGGCGGUGAAAUGCGUAGAUAUCAAGAGGAACACCUGCGGCGAAGGCGGGUUGCUGGGCCGACACUGACGCUGAGGCGCGAAAGCCAGGGGAGCGAACGGG
This 253-nucleotide ribosomal RNA is filed under the name uncultured bacterium. Its description in RNAcentral is "partial 16S ribosomal RNA". It matches the Rfam family "Bacterial small subunit ribosomal RNA", at positions 524 to 776 of the family's 1533-position model. The record is from RNAcentral.